AUAAUAAUAAUAUAAAAACAGCUUUACAUGCAAUUUAAAUGUUUCCUUACAAAUCACUGUAAUAUACUAAUGUACCAAUUGACAAGGUAUAUCGUUUAGUUACAGCAUUAGUUGAGUUAGAUUUUUAACUCAGCUUUAGCCUUAUGUCUGAGUAAAUCAAUGACUAAUGUUGUGUUUUUGGGAUCGUGUUGUUCUGCAUGUUUGAGAAUGAAGACUAAAAUCAACUGCAAUUACAUCCUGAGGGGCUCAAGUAUCUCCCUCAAUGAAGACAUGGAGACACUCAUUAAAGAAUAUGUGAUUGGCUGUGUCCAGUUCCAUCAGAAUUCUCUUCUCCUUAAGGACUGUGAAAGUGCAGAGGGCUGAGUCUGGAAUCACACAGACAACAGUGGGCAUGUACAUCUUUGGUUCAGAGGGUGCUGGUGUUGGUCCUGGAGACUAAUCUACGGAUGUUAGUGUGGAAGUUCUGCAGUGUCACUCUUGGGUGUUUGAUACUUGGACUGAUUUAUGUGCUUAACUGAGGCUACGCAAUGAAGCAAUGAAGAAAAUCCUGGAUACAACCAAGCUGUCACCAAAGAACUCUUAAGUAAAGACAAUUGAGAUGUCAUUUUUGAGAUGUCAUAUUUUUGUACUUGAGUCGAUUUAAGUUUUAAAAGUUUAAAAUGCUGAAUGUUCCCUUUCAUACUUAUGUACUCCUAACAUGUAAUUAAAUAUGCAUGAAAAGUGUGGUGGUGCAGAGACUUUCAACCCCCUGAGCCUUAUAGCCUUUUUUUUUCUGAUCAUUGUCCUUUUGUUCUAAAUUAUUGCAUGUCACAGAUUUUUGAAAAAUGUUAGUGAAACGUAAGCAGUACUGUUAUCAUCGAUUUACCUCAUGUAUCGCUCUACCUCAAAUUUGCACAGUUUUUUGAGGAAAUUGUUCUUAUUUCUGCACUGUUAUAAAUGUUUUUAACAGAGUGAUUUUUUUUUUUUAUAAUUUUUUGUUUUGUUAAAAUUGUUGUUGUUUUUUGCAUUUAUUUCUGCAGAAUUGUUGAUUGUGGCAAAAUGUUUGGAAAAUAGGGUUUAACCUUAAUGUGCAUGUAAAUAUGAAGGCAGUUUUUGUUUUUGUUGUUGCACACAAGUGUAUGAACAUGGUGUAGUAUGUCUUGCUAGCUCAUAUAUUGCCAAAUGCUUUGAAGCAUUAAUAAAUUGAUAUAAUGUAA
Long non-coding RNA from Cyprinus carpio (common carp), 1196 nucleotides. RefSeq lists it as uncharacterized. The transcript has 3 exons. The record is from RefSeq and is a predicted model, not a curated record. NCBI's taxonomy places the organism in Eukaryota, Metazoa, Chordata, Actinopteri, Cypriniformes, Cyprinidae.